This 332-nucleotide unclassified non-coding RNA is filed under the name uncultured Inocybe. Its description in RNAcentral is "sequence contains ITS1". The stretch from base 1 to 105 matches the Rfam family "5.8S ribosomal RNA", at positions 50 to 154 of the family's 154-position model. The record is from RNAcentral. Lineage: Eukaryota; Fungi; Basidiomycota; Agaricomycetes; Agaricales; Cortinariaceae.
GAAAUGCGAUAAGUAAUGUGAAUUGCAGAAUUCAGUGAAUCAUCGAAUCUUUGAACGCAUCUUGCGCUCCUUGGUAUUCCGAGGAGCAUGCCUGUUUGAGUGUCAUUAAAAGUUCUCAACCACUCUGGUUCUUUCCAGUGUGGCUUGGAUUUGAGGGGUUUUGCAGGCUUUUGAACUGAAGUCGGCUCCCUUGAAAAGGAUUAGUGGUGUCUGAGCAGAAGCCAUCAUGGGUGUGAUAAUUAUCUAUGCCUUGGUGGAAUGCCUGACCACAAUAAGUGUUGUGUUUUGACGAAUUUGACCUCAGGUCAGGCGGGGCUACCCGCUGAGUUUAA